GGCGCACGGGUGAGUAACACGUAGGUAAUCUACCUUUGGGUGGGGAAUAACAGCCGGAAACGGCUGCUAAUACCGCAUAAUGCAGCGGCUCGACAUCGAGACAGUUGUUAAAGCGGGGGAUUCGCAAGAACCUCGCGCCUAAAGAGGAGCCUGCGGCAGAUUAGCUAGUUGGUAGGGUAAUGGCCUACCAAGGCUACGAUCUGUAACCGGCCUGAGAGGGCGGUCGGUCACACUGACACUGACAUACGGGUCAGACUCCUACGGGAGGCAGCAGUCGGGAAUUUUGGGCAAUGGGCGAAAGCCUGACCCAGCAACGCCGCGUGAAGGAUGAAAUUUUUCGGAAUGUAAACUUCGCAAGAACGGGAAGAAUAAGUAGAAGAUAAUACCUUCUAUGAUGACGGUACCGUUUGUAAGCUCCGGCUAACUCCGUGCCAGCAGCCGCGG
RNAcentral lists this ribosomal RNA (444 nucleotides) under uncultured bacterium. RNAcentral's name for it is "bacterial SSU rRNA". It matches the Rfam family "Bacterial small subunit ribosomal RNA", at positions 97 to 520 of the family's 1533-position model. The record is from RNAcentral.